Molecule: ribosomal RNA, 357 nt
Filed under: uncultured bacterium
Lineage: Bacteria
Description: bacterial SSU rRNA
Rfam family: Bacterial small subunit ribosomal RNA
Source: RNAcentral
AGAGUUUGAUCAUGGCUCAGGAUGAACGCUAGCUACAGGCUUAACACAUGCAAGUCGAGGGGAAACGACAUCGAAAGCUUGCUUUUGAUGGGCGUCGACCGGCGCACGGGUGAGUAACGCGUAUCCAACCUGCCCACCACUUGGGGAUAACCUUGCGAAAGUAAGACUAAUACCCAAUGACGUCUCUAGAAGACAUCUGAAAGAGAUUAAAGAUUUAUCGGUGAUGGAUGGGGAUGCGUCUGAUUAGCUUGUUGGGCGGGGUAACGGGCCCACCAAGGCGACGAUCAGUAGGGGUUCUGAGAGGAAGGUCCCCCACAUUGGAACUGAGACACGGUACCAAACUCCGUACGGGAGGCA